This 497-nucleotide ribosomal RNA is filed under the name uncultured bacterium. RNAcentral's name for it is "partial 16S ribosomal RNA". It matches the Rfam family "Bacterial small subunit ribosomal RNA", at positions 28 to 507 of the family's 1533-position model. The record is from RNAcentral.
GAUGAACGCUGGCGGCGUGCCUAAUACAUGCAAGUCGAGCGAACAGACGAGGAGCUUGCUCCUCUGACGUUAGCGGCGGACGGGUGAGUAACACGUGUAUAACCUACCUAUAUGACUGGGAUAACUUCGGGAAACCGGAGCUAAUACCGGAUAAUAUAUUGAACCGCAUGGUUCAAUAGUGAAAUACGGUUUUGCUGGCACUUAUAGAUGGAUCCGCGCCGCAUUAGCUAGUUGGUAAGGUAACGGCUUACCACGGCAACGAUGCGUAGACGACCUGAGAGGGUGGUCGGCCACACGGGAACUGAGACACGGUCAAGACUCCUAAGGGACGCACCAGUAGGGAAUGUUCGGCAAUGGGCGAAAGCCUGACGGAGCAACGCCGCGUGAGUGAUGAAGGUCUUCGGAUCGUAAAACUCUGUUAUUAGGUAAGAACAAAUGUGUAAGUAACUAUGCACGUCUUGACGGUACCUAAUAAGAAAGCCACGGCUAACUACGUG